AUCUUGCUUUGAGAAGGUAAGUAUCGUACUUAGGAAUCUUUCUUGCCUGAUCAUGACUGUGUCUGUGAAACACCGUCUUAAAACCAUCAACCUUAACAAGUGGUGUGACCAAUACACCUUCCUCUUCAUUGAAAUCUUCAAGCACUUCCACCAUAUCAUACUUGUCCAAAAAAUCAUGUUUCGAAAAAAUGCAUGAAGAAGGUACUAUUUCUACCGAUGAUGAGUAGAGGCCAUGGUCUGUGUAUUGGCAAGUUGCAGGUUAUACAAAGAGAUAGAAAAUGAAAUCGUAUAAUAUAACAUUUGCGACUGUAAAGUUAUGGGAGCAGGAUUUUAUGAAAAGGCAGGAACCUGCAGUUAGGAAACUUAAGGAACCUAUCUUGGAUGACAUUGCAUCUGCAUUGAUUUGGCACCAUGGGCUGAAUUUUACGACGAAAGAUAAUUCUCUUAUCUGCAGCUUUUAUGUAAACAGUAAUUGUCUAUAUUAGAACUCUUUCGAGAAGGAAUAUGAAGGGUGAAAUCCCACCUGAGCUUAGCAACAUGGGGGCAUGAACAAGGAUGUGGUUAGAUGACAAGCUGCUUAUUGGACCAUUACUUGACAUGAGUAAACUUAUAGCAUAUAUGAUAUAUUUGCCCAAAGUGGAGGGUGAUGACCGUGCACAAGCACAAGCACGUGCUUUGGCAACUCUGUACUCACAUCCAGUUGUAGGUGUUUGACUGCUGUCACUUUUGCUGUACCACUAUUCAUUUUUCUAAUUCAGGACAAUUCAUAAUUAACAAUCACUGCAUGAGAGACAGAUAAGCAUAACAUUUUUUAAGUGGUCAGCCGCAUCAAUACUUGUAAAGUAUGACUAUAAUGUAAGCAUAAUAUAUAUAAAGUGGCUCUAAACAAAAUGUUCAAGGAAGAAGGAUUAAAACUAUAAGCUUAAUACGUAGUUUGUACUCAGUUUCUACCAAUCAGGUAAAUAUACUAGUUUUACUUAAUCAAUAUACUAGAGGCCAUGGUCUGUGGAUUGGCAAGUUGCAGGGUUAGUAACAAUAUUAUUGUGGUUAAUUUUUACCUUCACACUUUUGGUUCCUAAUUAAUAAAUUUCAUGACAGUAAAGAAUUAAUUAAUUGUGUGUGUUUUGUAGUUAUACAAAGAGAUAGAAAAUGAAAUCGUAUAAUAUAACAUUUGCGACUGUAAAGGAUUUUAUGAAAAGGCAGGAACCUGCAGUUAGGAAACUUAAGGAACCUAUCUUGGAUGACAUUGCAUCUGCAUUGAUUUUGGUUCAUAAUUGUUCCAUUUCUAACCAUCAAAGAUUACAAUCUAAAUUUUUUGAUAGUCAUUAUGCACUCAAUCAAUGCAGUUUUCCUUAUAGGUGAUACAGCUUUAAAUUGUGUGAGAUUCCCUUGGUUCAGAAUAGGAUACUUUUGCCUAUGGACAGUCACAUAUGUGAUUCUCCAGUGGAUUUUUCAUGCUUGCAUUAAUCUCUGGUAUAAAGUCUUUGACUGACACUAUUGAGUUUGGCUUGAACUACUAUGAAGACAUCAUUGUCUAAUGUACUUUGCGGUGGCAUUAUUGCAGAUUCCAUGCUAUGGAAUUUUCGCUUUGUUAAUGAAGCUGAAACAUUAUGUCUUGUCAACACGGUAUCCAGACUCGUAUCAAUGUGUUAGAUGAAUUCAGCUUAGUACUAAACUACCUUUGAUUCAGCUGUGUACUAAACUAUACAAAUUUAAUUUAUGUUAAAAUUGUUUUGUUCCCCCUUGCACAGAAUUCAAUGCAGCUGAAUCUGACACCAGGAUCUAACAAAAGUUGCAUUACCAUCUUGGGAGAUACAGAGGUGAUGAAGAGUAUCUAUAUGUUGAUGGCAUUGGCAUAAAAACUGGAGAUUUCUUUCAGUUCUACUAUUCAGAUCCUAAUACUGCAUUGGCUUCAUUAACCAAGGUCCAUGAUGCCCUCAAGAAUAUUAAACUGGAAAGAAAUUCCAAGGAUUUCAAGGGUGAUGGAGACAGCGCCACCAAUGUUUUUGGGGGUCUUAUUUUUGCUUGUUACGGCCGUGGUGAAUCCUUCUUUGGACGUAAUAAUGUUGAUAGCUCCCCUUUCUUGGAAAAUUUUCCAGGAGUGCCAGUAUCUGGAAUAUUUUGUGGUGGAGAAAUGGUGCGUCCCUGUACCACUGUGAUUGGUCAAUGUCAAGGAGCAAGUCCGAAAUUAGUUGCUGCCUACAUGUUUAGCAUGAACAAUAAAAGCAUGCUUAUGAUUUGAAUACUGUUUGUACAAGGUAGAUGAGGCUGAAAGUUAAAGGAAUCUGUAAAUUGACUUGCAAAGUUUUCAAGUAGUUUUAUUACCAUAGUCAUGUUGAUUUUACAAUGUAUUAAUGCAUGACUACAUCAGUGUAAAAGACUUGAUAAUGUAUAAAUAUAAAAUGACUUGAUAAUGUAUAAAUAUAAAAUCCAUUUAGUUUUUCUUGUA
Cajanus cajan (pigeon pea) is the source of this 2449-nucleotide non-coding RNA. The record is from RefSeq and is a predicted model, not a curated record. Lineage: Eukaryota; Viridiplantae; Streptophyta; Magnoliopsida; Fabales; Fabaceae.